UAGGGAAUCUUCGGCAAUGGACGAAAGUCUGACCGAGCAACGCCGCGUGAGUGAAGAAGGUUUUCGGAUCGUAAAACUCUGUUGUUAGAGAAGAACAAGGACGUUAGUAACUGAACGUCCCCUGACGGUAUCUAACCAGAAAGCCACGGCUAACUACGUGCCAGCAGCCGCGGUAAUACGUAGGUGGCAAGCGUUGUCCGGAUUUAUUGAGCGUAAAGCGAGCGCAGGCGGUUUCUUAAGUCUGAUGUGAAAGCCCCCGGCUCAACCGGGGAGGGUCAUUGGAAACUGGGAGACUUGAGUGCAGAAGAGGAGAGUGGAAUUCCAUGUGUAGCGGUGAAAUGCGUAGAUAUAUGGAGGAACACCAGUGGCGAAGGCGGCUCUCUGGUCUGUAACUGACGCUGAGGCUCGAAAGCGUGGGGAGCAAACAGG
Molecule: ribosomal RNA, 429 nt
Filed under: Gemmatimonadota bacterium
Lineage: Bacteria; Pseudomonadati; Gemmatimonadota
Description: Gemmatimonadetes bacterium partial 16S ribosomal RNA
Rfam family: Bacterial small subunit ribosomal RNA
Source: RNAcentral